RNAcentral lists this ribosomal RNA (497 nucleotides) under uncultured bacterium. RNAcentral's name for it is "partial 16S ribosomal RNA". It matches the Rfam family "Bacterial small subunit ribosomal RNA", at positions 28 to 507 of the family's 1533-position model. The record is from RNAcentral.
GAUGAACGCUGGCGGCGUGCCUAAUACAUGCAAGUCGAGCGAACAGACGAGGAGCUUGCUCCUCUGACGUUAGCGGCGGACGGGUGAGUAACACGUGGAUAACCUACCUAUAAGACUGGGAUAACUUCGGGAAACCGGAGCUAAUACCGGAUAAUAUAUUGAACCGCAUGGUUCAAUAGUAAAAGACGGUUUUGCUGUCACUUAUAGAUGGAUCCGCGCCGCAGUAGCUAGUUGGUAAGGUAACGGCUUACCAAGGCAACGAUGCGUAGCCGACCUGAGAGGGUGAUCGGCCACACUGGAACUGAGACACGGUCCAGACUCCUACGGGAGGCAGCAGUAGGGAAUCUUCCGCAAAGGGCGAAAGCCUGACGGAGCAACGCCGCGUGAGUGAUGAAGGUCUUCGGAUCGUAAAACUCUGUUAUUAGGGAAGAACAAAUGUGUAAGUAACUAUGCACGUCUUGACGGUACCUAAUCAGAAAGCCACGGCUAACUACGUG